RNAcentral lists this ribosomal RNA (467 nucleotides) under uncultured soil bacterium. RNAcentral's name for it is "bacterial SSU rRNA". It matches the Rfam family "Bacterial small subunit ribosomal RNA", at positions 26 to 488 of the family's 1533-position model. The record is from RNAcentral.
AGAUUGAACGCUGGCGGCAUGCCUAACACAUGCAAGUCGAACGGGAGUAGCAGUACUCUAGUGGCGGACGGGUGAGGAAUACGUAGGAAUUUGCCCUUAAGUGGGGGAUAACCCGGGGAAACCCGGAUUAAUACCGCAUGACCUCGAAAGAGCAAAGUGGGGGAUCGCAAGACCUCACGCUUUUGGAGAAGCCUACGUCGGAUUAGCUAGUUGGUGAGGUAAUGGCUCACCAAGGCGACGAUCCGUAACUGGUCUGAGAGGAUGAUCAGUCACACCGGAACUGAGACACGGUCCGGACUCCUACGGGAGCAGCAGUGGGGAAUAUUGGACAAGUGGGCGCAAGCCUGAUCCAGCAAUGCCGCGUGUGUGAAGAAGCCGUUCGGUUAGUAAAGCUAACGUUUAAGUUAGGGAAGUAAAAAACUCGACGUACUAAACGACAGUGACGUGUUAGACGGUACCGACAAGAA